GACGAACGCUGGCGGCGUGCUUAACACAUGCAAGUCGAACGAUGAAGCCGGAGCUUGCUCUGGUGAAUUAGUGGCGAACGGGUGAGUAACACGUGAGUAACCUGCCCUUGACUCUGGGAUAACUGCUAGAAAUGGUAGCUAAUACCGGAUACGACCCUCGGCGGCAUCGCCAGGGGGUGGAAAGAAUUUCGGUCAAGGAUGGACUCGCGGCCUAUCAGCUGGUUGGUGAGGUAACGGCUCACCAAGGCGACGACGGGUAGCCGGCCUGAGAGGGCGACCGGCCACACUGGGACUGAGACACGGCCCAGACUCCUACGGGAGGCAGCAGUGGGGAAUAUUGCACAAUGGGCGCAAGCCUGAUGCAGCAACGCCGCGUGAGGGAUGACGGCCUUCGGGUUGUAAACCUCUUUUAGUAGGGAAGAAGCGAAAGUGACGGUACCUGCAGAAAAAGCACCGGCUAACUACGUGCCAGCAGCCGCAGUAA
This 484-nucleotide ribosomal RNA is filed under the name uncultured bacterium. RNAcentral describes it as "partial 16S ribosomal RNA". It matches the Rfam family "Bacterial small subunit ribosomal RNA", at positions 28 to 523 of the family's 1533-position model. The record is from RNAcentral.